Non-coding RNA from Mycena epipterygia, 92 nucleotides. The record is from the annotation of a GenBank genome assembly. NCBI's taxonomy places the organism in Eukaryota, Fungi, Basidiomycota, Agaricomycetes, Agaricales, Mycenaceae.
UCAGACAUGGUGUAGCGGUAACAUCGCCUCUGGUUAUAAAUUUGCACCCCAAUAAUAGGGGGUGGUCCCGGGUUCGAAUCCCGGUGUCGGAG